This 229-nucleotide ribosomal RNA is filed under the name uncultured bacterium. RNAcentral describes it as "partial 16S ribosomal RNA". It matches the Rfam family "Bacterial small subunit ribosomal RNA", at positions 568 to 796 of the family's 1533-position model. The record is from RNAcentral.
UGCGUAGGCGGAUUAAUAAGUCAGUGGUGAAAUCUUUCGGCUCAACCGAGAAACUGCCAUUGAUACUGUUAAUCUUGAGUUCGGUUGAGGUAGGCGGAAUGUGUAAUGUAGCGGUGAAAUGCUUAGAUAUUACACAGAACACCAAUUGUGUAGGCAGCUUACUAGACCGAUACUGACGCUGAGGCACGAAAGCGUGGGUAGCGAACAGGAUUAGAUACCCUGGUAGUCC